Molecule: transfer RNA, 68 nt
Filed under: Epomophorus wahlbergi (Wahlberg's epauletted fruit bat)
Lineage: Eukaryota; Metazoa; Chordata; Mammalia; Chiroptera; Pteropodidae
Also listed under: 2 other names
Description: tRNA-His
Rfam family: tRNA
About the family: Transfer RNA (tRNA) molecules are approximately 80 nucleotides in length. Their secondary structure includes four short double-helical elements and three loops (D, anti-codon, and T loops). Further hydrogen bonds mediate the characteristic L-shaped molecular structure. tRNAs have two regions of fundamental functional importance: the anti-codon, which is responsible for specific mRNA codon recognition, and the 3' end, to which the tRNAs corresponding amino acid is attached (by aminoacyl-tRNA synthetases). tRNAs cope with the degeneracy of the genetic code in two manners: having more than one tRNA (with a specific anti-codon) for a particular amino acid; and 'wobble' base-pairing, i.e. permitting non-standard base-pairing at the 3rd anti-codon position.
Source: RNAcentral
GUAGAUAUAGUUUAAGCAAAACACUAGAUUGUGAAUCUAGCAACAGAGACCAAAAACUCUUAUCCACC